This 74-nucleotide transfer RNA is filed under the name Schistocerca americana (American grasshopper). RNAcentral describes it as "tRNA-Thr". It matches the Rfam family "tRNA". Rfam says of the family: Transfer RNA (tRNA) molecules are approximately 80 nucleotides in length. Their secondary structure includes four short double-helical elements and three loops (D, anti-codon, and T loops). Further hydrogen bonds mediate the characteristic L-shaped molecular structure. tRNAs have two regions of fundamental functional importance: the anti-codon, which is responsible for specific mRNA codon recognition, and the 3' end, to which the tRNAs corresponding amino acid is attached (by aminoacyl-tRNA synthetases). tRNAs cope with the degeneracy of the genetic code in two manners: having more than one tRNA (with a specific anti-codon) for a particular amino acid; and 'wobble' base-pairing, i.e. permitting non-standard base-pairing at the 3rd anti-codon position. The record is from RNAcentral. RNAcentral also lists the same sequence under 1 other name. Lineage: Eukaryota; Metazoa; Arthropoda; Insecta; Orthoptera; Acrididae.
UCCUCGGUGGCUCAGAUGGAUAGAGCGUCUGCCAUGUAAGCAGGAGAUCCCAGGUUCGAGUCCUGGUCGGGGAA